RNAcentral lists this long non-coding RNA (357 nucleotides) under Anas platyrhynchos platyrhynchos (common mallard). RNAcentral's name for it is "lncRNA (ENSAPLG00000020594.1)". The record is from RNAcentral. Lineage: Eukaryota; Metazoa; Chordata; Aves; Anseriformes; Anatidae.
UAACGUAUAACAAGAUGUAUGUUUUUUGGAGACCUUCUUUGAUGGUUGAACUAAUUUCCUUUUCAGACAGAAUAUACCUUAAUGAAGAAACAGAAAUCUGUUCUCGGUGACCAGAAUCAUUCCAGCUUCAAUGAGUGUGAGAGCUGAAUUAUGCAGUUACAAUCUGGGGAAACAGAAGCCCAGGCAAAGUCAAAUCCUAUUGAAUUUGGACUGUCUCUUUCUUUCUGUUUUUGGUGAGCAAGAAAAUUCUGGAUUUACUCACUUAAUAAACACUAUACCCUUUGAACAGCUUCUGUUUAUAGUGUAUUUGAAACUUUGAGUUGGAUUAGCUGUGGUGUAUAAAUUUGAACAAAACGG